GGAGCUUAUAGAGUACAUCAGGAGAUAUUUGCAGCAAUUCAGUUGCACUUUGACGAGUACACCGUGCAAAAAUGUUUGCGCUCUCGUCUGCAAGUGUUAUUUUGAAAUAGAAAGUGCGCGUAACUUCAUCACAACUACUAUUAAAGGAACUGCAAUCAGUAACACUAGUUGGCAUCAUUUUAACAGCGUGACUAGCGAUAGGUGGCCUGUUCUCCACACCUG
Molecule: unclassified non-coding RNA, 222 nt
Filed under: Hevea brasiliensis (rubber tree)
Lineage: Eukaryota; Viridiplantae; Streptophyta; Magnoliopsida; Malpighiales; Euphorbiaceae
Source: RNAcentral